Molecule: ribosomal RNA, 445 nt
Filed under: uncultured bacterium
Lineage: Bacteria
Description: partial 16S ribosomal RNA
Rfam family: Bacterial small subunit ribosomal RNA
Source: RNAcentral
GUGAGGAAUAUUGGACAAUGGGCGCAAGCCUGAUCCAGCCAUGCCGCGUGCAGGAAGACGCAUCUAUGGUGUGUAAACUGCUUUUGUACGGGAAGAAACACUCCCUCGUGAGGGAGCUUGACGGUACCGUAAGAAUAAGGAUCGGCCAACUCCGUGCCAGCAGCCGCGGUAAUACGGAGGAUCCAAGCGUUAUCCGGAAUCAUUGGGUUUAAAGGGUCCGUAGGCGGUUUAAUAAGUCAGUGGUGAAAGCCCAUCGCUCAACGAUGGAACGGCCAUUGAUACUGUUAGACUUGAAUUACAAGGAAGUAACUAGAAUAUGUAGUGUAGCGGUGAAAUGCUUAGAUAUUAUAUGGAAUACCAAUUGCGAAGGCAGGUUACUACUUGUGGAUUGACGCUGAUGGACGAAAGCGUGGGGAGCGAACAGGAUUAGAAACCCUGGUAGUCC